This 497-nucleotide ribosomal RNA is filed under the name uncultured bacterium. RNAcentral describes it as "partial 16S ribosomal RNA". It matches the Rfam family "Bacterial small subunit ribosomal RNA", at positions 28 to 507 of the family's 1533-position model. The record is from RNAcentral.
GAUGAACGCUGGCGGCGUGCCUAAUACAUGCAAGUAGAACGCUGAAGGAAGGAGCUUGCUCUUUCCGGAUGAGUUGCGAACGGGUGAGUAACGCGUAGGUAACCUGCCUGGUAGCGGGGGAUAACUAUUGGAAACGAUAGCUAAUACCGCAUAACAGUAGAUGUUGCAUGAUAUCUACUUAAAAGGUGCAAUUGCACCACUACCAGAUGGACCUGCGUUGUAUUAGCUAGUUGGUGAGGUAACGGCUCACCAAGGCGACGAUACAUAGCCGACCUGAGAGGGUGAUCGGCCACACUGGGACUGGGACACGGCCCAGACUCCUACGGGAGGCAGCAGUAGGGAAUCUUCGGCAAUGGACGGAAGUCUGACCGAGCAACGCCGCGUGAGUGAAGAAGGUUGUCGGAUCGUAAAGCUCUGUUGUAAGAGAAGAACGAGUGUGAGAGUGGAAAGUUCACACUGUGACGGUAUCUUACCAGAAAGGGACGGCUAACUACGUG